UGCAGAAUCCCGUGAACCAUCGAGUCUUUGAACGCAAGUUGCGCCCGAUGCCAUUAGGUUGAGGGCACGUCUGCCUGGGUGUCACAUAUCGAAUCCCCUUGCCAAUUUCCUAUUGAAUAGGUAUUGCGUGCAGGGUGAAUAUGUUGGCCUCCCGUGAGCUCUGUCUCGUGGUUGGUUGAAAAUUGAGACCUUGGUAGGGUGUGCCAUGAUAGAUGGUGGAUGUGCGACCCACGAGACCAAAUCAUGUGCAGCUCUAUUGAAUGUGGACUCUUUUACCCACAUGUGUUUUGUAACGCUCGUGAUGAGACCUCAGGUCAGGCGGGGCUACCCGCUGAAUUUAAGCAUAUCAAUAAGCGGAGGAAAAGAAACUAACAAGGAUUCCCUUAGUAACGGCGAGCGAACCGGGAUAAGCCCACCAUGAGAAUCGGUCGCCCUCGGCGUUCGA
RNAcentral lists this ribosomal RNA (445 nucleotides) under Medicago polymorpha. RNAcentral describes it as "eukaryotic LSU rRNA". The stretch from base 305 to 445 matches the Rfam family "Eukaryotic large subunit ribosomal RNA", at positions 1 to 141 of the family's 3401-position model. The record is from RNAcentral. Lineage: Eukaryota; Viridiplantae; Streptophyta; Magnoliopsida; Fabales; Fabaceae.